RNAcentral lists this non-coding RNA (29 nucleotides) under Rattus norvegicus (Norway rat). The record is from RNAcentral. Lineage: Eukaryota; Metazoa; Chordata; Mammalia; Rodentia; Muridae.
UGAAAUGACUUUGUUUAGCAUGGAGAUUC